CUGGUCAACAGUAUGUAUAUAGUACAUGAAUGCAGUUUAGUAGGUUGACUGUUUGUUAACAUUGGGUAAGAUAAGCUUUGAUUUAGUUGACUUAAUACUGGGGCUGUAGUUCUUAUGGAUUUGGGUUUUUACAGUUUUUGUCCUUGCUUGUUUCUUAGUAUUUACAUUCAUUUAACAUACACCACUCCAUUACUGAUGAUAUAAAUUCUUAGCCAAAGAAAACAAAUCAGCUAAAAAGAAAUGGCUCAUUGUAGCCCAGCUAGAAAAAAAGAGCAGUGGAAAGUAGUUUUUUUUUCAUAUAUAAUGUAAACAAUUUAGUCAUUUCUUUUUUCUUUUAUGUUUAAAGGAAGAUGUGGACCAAUAAGAUUAUCUGUUGUCAUUUAACUUGGCCAAUCAGCAAUGAGCUCCCAGUGACCCUUGCUGUUGACCUUGAUCACAUGAUUUCCUGUGUUGCCAUUUCAUUCCUGUUCAUAUAAUGCCAUGUGCCAGAGAAACUAAUGUUCCCGAAGUCGAAUCGCUAGGAGUUAAAAGCAAGUCUGCUGCAGUUGUUUUUGGUUGUUCAGAGUUUCACCCUGUCAACGGAUGACUCGACAGACGGACCCAGUCUGAAGCAAGCCCCAUCGAGGAGCAGCGAUUCCACAGUUCCAGUUAACUGGAUGGCGAGCCAACCCGAAAUUGAAAAGGAUUUGCCAAGGUUUUAUUGAAGCCAAAGUUUCGUUCCCAUUGAAGCUUCAGAUACCUGCAGGACUACGAACUUUCUUCCUUCAUCGGAGUGUGGUAGGACAAACAUUAAACAAACUGAACGGGCCCCAACGAUCCAUCAGUUACCAGACAUUGUCCAUUCAUACAAUUGACUCAGAGAAAGCUGUAUGCGCGCACUUUUAUUUAGUUUGUUAUUUUGGGGGAAAUAUUUUGUAUUUUAUUUUAUUGUUUUUUUCAUUACAUUGUUGCAGCUGCUGUGUGUCAAAUAUAACAAAUUUGUGAACAGUCUAUUGUGGUGUGGUCUCUCCUUAUUGGUGUUUAUACCUUGGGCUCCUGCCGAUCCUAGAUCUUCUGCUACUGGCUAGUGGAGUUCGGUCAUUCUUAAUGAUAAGUCGUAAGUCCGGUUACAUCAUUCUUUGGUUUACAUGUAUAAACAUAUGUACACUUAGUGAGACCAUUUUUUACAGGGAUACAGGCAUGCAGAAGAGGCCCCACAUCUAAGAUGUUUUAAAGACUUGAUUUUUUUUUCUUUUUCUUUUUUUUUUUUUUUAAAUGACAUCAGAAACAGCAGUAUGCGACAUUACGUGAUGGCAGAGCUUCAGUUCAUCCUUUGUCUUUUUUUUUUUUUUUUUUUUUUUUUUUUUUUUUCAAAAUUAUCUAUCAGAACUAUAUUGGGCCAAGGUCUAAAGUAACAUGAACCAUUUUCUCUGACACACACAUACACAUACAUUCAGUUCUUGCAAUUGACCAUUUUCAGAAAAAAAUAUGUUUCUUUGUUAAGCCGCUUAAAACUAACUCAAGAAAAAAAAGGCACCUACCACAAGGGAUACACCACUCUUGUAUCUACAUAUAAAAGACAGCCUAGUACAAAAAAACAAACAAACAAAUAUAUAAAUCCAUAAAUUCACAAAUAAUUAAAUGGUAUCUUUAGGCUCUUUUCUACUAGCGAUUGAAUGUAAAAAAAAUGCCAAAGGUAACUGUGCUAAACCAGCUUUGAAUGUCUUUCAAGAAGCUCAGAGACUACUUAAAGAAAUUACAAGAGCAUUUGCUUGAGAGAGUUCAGGCUAUAUUGAAAAAUAAAAGUAGUCAUACGAAAAAUUGACGUUCAACCCUGUUAGAAUUGUACAGACUCUUUUUUUGCCUCGCCUUUUUGCCUGUAUUUCAAUAUAUCUUUCGAUAAAUCACUGCAUUUAGCAACAUAUGAUUCCUAGCGAUGUCUUUUGCACAGUGUAUAUAUGUGUGUUUGUGUGUGUAUAUAUGUUAUAACUCACUUUGUUAAUGUAACAGUUAACUGUUGGGUUAUAGGUCCCUCCUCCAAACAUCAGGGUUGCAACCCCAGGAGAAAACUAGAUUCUAUAUCCAUGCAAAUGGAUAGAAUGAAAAUCAAAUUGGGACAGAUGACAUCUAGUAAAACCACUGCGGCAUGGCAGUAUUUUAUUCUACAAAGUGACCUUGCCACUGC
Long non-coding RNA from Astatotilapia calliptera (eastern happy), 2164 nucleotides. Lineage: Eukaryota; Metazoa; Chordata; Actinopteri; Cichliformes; Cichlidae. The record is from Ensembl.